RNAcentral lists this ribosomal RNA (1440 nucleotides) under uncultured organism. Its description in RNAcentral is "SSU rRNA". It matches the Rfam family "Bacterial small subunit ribosomal RNA". The record is from RNAcentral.
GCUCAGGAUGAACGCUAGCUACAGGCUUAACACAUGCAAGUCGAGGGGCAUCAGGAAGAAAGCUUGCUUUCUUUGCUGGCGACCGGCGCACGGGUGAGUAACACGUAUCCAACCUGCCCUUUACUCGGGGAUAGCCUUUCGAAAGAAAGAUUAAUACCCGAUAGCAUAAUGAUUCCGCAUGGUUUCAUUAUUAAAGGAUUCCGGUAAAGGAUGGGGAUGCGUUCCAUUAGGUUGUUGGUGAGGUAACGGCCCACCAAGCCUUCGAUGGAUAGGGGUUCUGAGAGGAAGGUCCCCCACAUUGGAACUGAGACACGGUCCAAACUCCUACGGGAGGCAGCAGUGAGGAAUAUUGGUCAAUGGGCGCUAGCCUGAACCAGCCAAGUAGCGUGAAGGAUGAAGGCUCUAUGGGUCGUAAACUUCUUUUAUAUAAGAAUAAAGUGCAGUAUGUAUACUGUUUUGUAUGUAUUAUAUGAAUAAGGAUCGGCUAACUCCGUGCCAGCAGCCGCGGUAAUACGGAGGAUCCGAGCGUUAUCCGGAUUUAUUGGGUUUAAAGGGAGCGUAGGUGGACUGGUAAGUCAGUUGUGAAAGUUUGCGGCUCAACCGUAAAAUUGCAGUUGAUACUGUCAGUCUUGAGUACAGUAGAGGUGGGCGGAAUUCGUGGUGUAGCGGUGAAAUGCUUAGAUAUCACGAAGAACUCCGAUUGCGAAGGCAGCUCACUGGACUGCAACUGACACUGAUGCUCGAAAGUGUGGGUAUCAAACAGGAUUAGAUACCCUGGUAGUCCACACAGUAAACGAUGAAUACUCGCUGUUUGCGAUAUACAGUAAGCGGCCAAGCGAAAGCAUUAAGUAUUCCACCUGGGGAGUACGCCGGCAACGGUGAAACUCAAAGGAAUUGACGGGGGCCCGCACAAGCGGAGGAACAUGUGGUUUAAUUCGAUGAUACGCGAGGAACCUUACCCGGGCUUAAAUUGCAGUGGAAUGAUGUGGAAACAUGUCAGUGAGCAAUCACCGCUGUGAAGGUGCUGCAUGGUUGUCGUCAGCUCGUGCCGUGAGGUGUCGGCUUAAGUGCCAUAACGAGCGCAACCCUUAUCUUUAGUUACUAACAGGUUAUGCUGAGGACUCUAGAGAGACUGCCGUCGUAAGAUGUGAGGAAGGUGGGGAUGACGUCAAAUCAGCACGGCCCUUACGUCCGGGGCUACACACGUGUUACAAUGGGGGGUACAGAAGGCAGCUAGCGGGUGACCGUAUGCUAAUCCCAAAAUCCUCUCUCAGUUCGGAUCGAAGUCUGCAACCCGACUUCGUGAAGCUGGAUUCGCUAGUAAUCGCGCAUCAGCCACGGCGCGGUGAAUACGUUCCCGGGCCUUGUACACACCGCCCGUCAAGCCAUGGGAGCCGGGGGUACCUGAAGUACGUAACCGCAAGGAUCGUCCUAGGGUAA